UACGAAGGGGGCUAGCGUUGUUCGGAAUCACUGGGCGUAAAGCGCUUGUAGGCGGAUCUUUAAGUCAGAGGUGAAAUCCCAAGGCUCAACCUUGGAACUGCCUUUGAUACUGGGGAUCUCGAGUCCGGGAGAGGUGAGUGGAACUGCGAGUGUAGAGGUGAAAUUCGUAGAUAUUCGCAAGAACACCAGUGGCGAAGGCGGCUCACUGGCCCGGUACUGACGCUGAGGAGCGAAAGCAUGGGUAGCGAACAGG
Molecule: ribosomal RNA, 253 nt
Filed under: uncultured bacterium
Lineage: Bacteria
Description: partial 16S ribosomal RNA
Rfam family: Bacterial small subunit ribosomal RNA
Source: RNAcentral